CAGCAGCCGCGGGAAUACGUAGGUGGCAAGCGUUGUCCGGAAUUAUUGGGCGUAAAGGGCUCGCAGGCGGUUUCUUAAGUCUGAUGUGAAAGCCCCCGGCUCAACCGGGGAGGGUCAUUGGAAACUGGGAAACUUGAGUGCGGAAGAGGAGAGUGGAAUUCCACGUGUAGCGGUGAAAUGCGUAGAGAUGUGGAGGAACACCAGUGGCGAAGGCGACUCUCUGGUCUGUAACUGACGCUGAGGAGCGAAAGCGUGGGGAGCGAACAGGAUUAGAUACCCCCGUAGUCCCUGUCUCUUAUAC
This 301-nucleotide ribosomal RNA is filed under the name uncultured bacterium. RNAcentral describes it as "partial 16S ribosomal RNA". It matches the Rfam family "Bacterial small subunit ribosomal RNA", at positions 509 to 807 of the family's 1533-position model. The record is from RNAcentral.